RNAcentral lists this ribosomal RNA (546 nucleotides) under uncultured bacterium. Its description in RNAcentral is "bacterial SSU rRNA". It matches the Rfam family "Bacterial small subunit ribosomal RNA", at positions 356 to 896 of the family's 1533-position model. The record is from RNAcentral.
GGGGAAUAUUGCGCAAUGGGGGGAACCCUGACGCAGCCAUGCCGCGUGAAUGAAGAAGGCCUUCGGGUUGUAAAGUUCUUUCGGUAUUGAGGAAGGUUGAUGUGUUAAUAGUACAUCAAAUUGACGUUAAAUACAGAAGAAGCACCGGCUAACUCCGUGCCAGCAGCCGCGGUAAUACGGAGGGUGCGAGCGUUAAUCGGAAUAACUGGGCGUAAAGGGCACGCAGGCGGUGACUUAAGUGAGGUGUGAAAGCCCCGGGCUUAACCUGGGAAUUGCAUUUCAUACUGGGUCGCUAGAGUACUUUAGGGAGGGGUAGAAUUCCACGUGUAGCGGUGAAAUGCGUAGAGAUGUGGAGGAAUACCGAAGGCGAAGGCAGCCCCUUGGGAAUGUACUGACGCUCAUGUGCGAAAGCGUGGGGAGCAAACAGGAUUAGAUACCCUGGUAGUCCACGCUGUAAACGAUGUCGAUUUGGGGGUUGAACUUUAGGUUUGGCGCCCGUAGCUAACGUGAUAAAUCGACCGCCUGGGGAGUACGGCCGCAAGGUUA